UAGGGAAUCUUCGGCAAUGGACGAAAGUCUGACCGAGCAACGCCGCGUGAGUGAAGAAGGUUUUCGGAUCGUAAAACUCUGUUGGUAGAGAAGAACGUUGGUGAGAGUGGAAAGCUCAUCAAGUGACGGUAACUACCCAGAAAGGGACGGCUAACUACUUGCAAG
Molecule: ribosomal RNA, 165 nt
Filed under: uncultured bacterium
Lineage: Bacteria
Description: partial 16S rRNA
Rfam family: Bacterial small subunit ribosomal RNA
Source: RNAcentral